UACAGAGGUGGCAAGCGUUGUUCGGAAUUACUGGGCGUAAAGGGCGCGUAGGCGGUCUUGCAAGUCCCGUGUGAAAGCCCCCGGCUCAACUGGGGAGGGUCAUUCGAUACUGAUCGACUCGAAGGCAGGAGAGGGUAGUGGAAUUCCCGGUGUAGUGGUGAAAUGCGCAGAUAUCAGGAGGAACACCGGUGGCGAAGGCGGGUCUCUGGGCCGAUACUGACGCUGAGGAGCGAAAGCGUGGGGAGCGAACAGG
Molecule: ribosomal RNA, 253 nt
Filed under: uncultured bacterium
Lineage: Bacteria
Description: partial 16S ribosomal RNA
Rfam family: Bacterial small subunit ribosomal RNA
Source: RNAcentral